This 241-nucleotide long non-coding RNA is filed under the name Homo sapiens (human). RNAcentral describes it as "non-protein coding lnc-TMEM123-4:1". The record is from RNAcentral. Lineage: Eukaryota; Metazoa; Chordata; Mammalia; Primates; Hominidae.
UGCUUCCCUUGGCCAAAAACACACUAAAUCACUUUCUAGUUUGAAGCAUUUAGCAAUUAACAACAAAGCAUAGCCACCAGAAACAUACACCUGAUUGCUAUGACAAAUACAGUAAUGCUGUGUUAGCUAGUAGAGCUAAUUUCUGUAUCACUGUGUGGACAUAACAGCAACAUAAAUUGGAAGAUAAUGGAACCUGCCCCCCUGUUGCUAGAAUCUCACUCUAAAUGAAUGGAGAGAUAAA